GAUGAACGCUGGCGGCGUGCCUAAUACAUGCAAGUCGAGCGAACAGACGAGGAGCUUGCUCCUCUGACGUUAGCGGCGGACGGGUGAGUAACACGUGGAUAACCUACCUAUAAGACUGGGAUAACUUCGGGAAACCGGAGCUAAUACCGGAUAAUAUAUUGAACCGCAUGGUUCAAUAGUGAAAGACGGUUUUGCUGUCACUUAUAGAUGGAUCCGCGCCGCAUUAGCUAGUUGGUAAGGUAACGGCUUACCAAGGCAACGAUGCGUAGCCGACCUGAGAGGGGGAACGGCCACCCUGGAACUGAGACACGGUCCAGACUCCUACGGGAGGCAGCAGUAGGGAAUCUUCCGCAAUGGGCGAAAGCCUGACGGAGCAACGCCGCGUGAGUGAUGAAGGUCUUCGGAUCGUAAAACUCUGUUAUUAGGGAAGAACAAAUGUGUAAGUAACUAUGCACGUCUUGACGGUACCUAAUCAGAAAGCCACGGCUAACUACGUG
Molecule: ribosomal RNA, 497 nt
Filed under: uncultured bacterium
Lineage: Bacteria
Description: partial 16S ribosomal RNA
Rfam family: Bacterial small subunit ribosomal RNA
Source: RNAcentral